UAGAAUUCCACGUGUAGCGGUGAAAUGCGUAGAGAUGUGGAGGAAUACCGGUGGCGAAGGCGGCCUUCUGGACAGAUACUGACGCUGAGAUGCGAAAGCGUGGGGAGCAAACAGGAUUAGAUACCCUGGUAGUCCACGCUGUAAACGAUGUCGAUUUGGAGUUUGUUGCCUAGAGUGAUGGGCUCCGAAGCUAACGCGAUAAAUCGACCGCCUGGGGAGUACGGCCGCAAGGUUAAAACUCAAAUGAAUUGACGGGGGCCCGCACAAGCGGUGGAGCAUGUGGUUUAAUUCGAUGCAACGCGAAGAACCUUACCUGGUCUUGACAUCCACAGAAUCUUGCAGAGAUGUGAGAGUGCCUUCGGGAACUGUGAGACAGGUGCUGCAUGGCUGUCGUCAGCUCGUGUUGUGAAAUGUUGGGUUAAGUCCCGCAACGAGCGCAACCCUUAUCCUUUGUUGCCAUCGGUUAGGCCGGGAACUCAAAGGAGACUGCCGUUGAUAAAGCGGAGGAAGGUGGGGACGACGUCAAGUCAUCAUGGCCCUUACGACCAGGGCUACACACGUGCUACAAUGGCGUAUACAAAGGGAGGCGACCUCGCGAGAGCAAGCGGACCUCAUAAAGUACGUCUAAGUCCGGAUUGGAGUCUGCACCUCGACUCCAUGAAGUCGAAAUCGCUAGUAAUCGUGAAUCAGAAUGU
Molecule: ribosomal RNA, 695 nt
Filed under: uncultured Gilliamella sp.
Lineage: Bacteria; Pseudomonadati; Pseudomonadota; Gammaproteobacteria; Orbales; Orbaceae
Description: bacterial SSU rRNA
Rfam family: Bacterial small subunit ribosomal RNA
Source: RNAcentral